UCUCUUCCUUGCCAUGAUUCCAC
RNAcentral lists this small nuclear RNA (23 nucleotides) under Arabidopsis thaliana (thale cress). RNAcentral's name for it is "snRNA_15881". Lineage: Eukaryota; Viridiplantae; Streptophyta; Magnoliopsida; Brassicales; Brassicaceae. The record is from RNAcentral.